AGUCACCAUGACAACCAGCAGAAGAACGUUGGGCCAGAAAAAAGCAUUGAGCUUGAGGGACUAGACUAAUCAAAAAAUGGAAUAACAUGGCAACAAUUACACUGAUGAGUGAGAGGGAAGCGGCACAUGCAUUCAGACACCUAUGGCAUCGCAGGCUCCGCGCAUUCAGCGUUUCGUGUUUAGGGCCUUGUGUUUUUGAGAGCAGGUGAGAACAACAGCAUGACUGGAAUGGCGAUAGCCACUUCUAAAAUGUCCAUUUAUUCAUAGCUCAUCUACUUCUCAAAAAGAAAUUGUGACUCAUGAGGGGCUGUUGUGUUCACCAUAGCACCAGGCCUGGGAGCAUUGGGGAAGCUCAAAACUGUCUGUUGAACAAAAGGAGAGAAGAGCCAUGGAAGCCAUCUAUACUAUGUUGUCUUGAUCCUUCAUGCAAAAUCAGAGACAAAUCUCACUUCUGGGCUGCUUACUUAAUGGGUUGUCUCCUACCCUUGCUGCAGGAAUGCUGUUCACAAUGGACCGAUGGACAUUUUAUUGAAAAAAGAAUAGAGCCAGAGAAGCUAAGCUUUUAUCUACCACCAUGGAAACAGGCGAAUCAUGGUUUCUCAAAGUCCUAACCUCAAUAAGCAUCCCAAACUGACAAUUGACGUUAGAGGAAGUCGAGGAUAGAGUGAUAACCUGGAAUCACCAAUAAAAGUUAUUGUAACUGAUUUAUUUUCAUCGUGUUUUCUGGGAUUUCAGAUUAGCUUGUGUUCAGAGGAUCUAUGCUAAACCAUUGACAGACUUAAGUUGAUAUGACUGUGUCUCAUAUAAGAAUUAUAGCCAGAUUUUCAUGUUUGAGCAAUUUUAGAAAACAA
Equus caballus (horse) is the source of this 851-nucleotide non-coding RNA. The record is from RefSeq and is a predicted model, not a curated record. Lineage: Eukaryota; Metazoa; Chordata; Mammalia; Perissodactyla; Equidae.